This is a non-coding RNA of Odocoileus virginianus texanus, 71 nucleotides long. Lineage: Eukaryota; Metazoa; Chordata; Mammalia; Artiodactyla; Cervidae. The record is from the annotation of a RefSeq genome assembly.
CCCCUGGUGGCUCAGGCGGUAAAGCACCUGCCUGCAAUGCAGGAGACCAGGUUCGAGCCCUGGGUGGGGGA